RNAcentral lists this transfer RNA (65 nucleotides) under Paracercion v-nigrum. RNAcentral describes it as "tRNA-Gly". It matches the Rfam family "tRNA". Rfam says of the family: Transfer RNA (tRNA) molecules are approximately 80 nucleotides in length. Lineage: Eukaryota; Metazoa; Arthropoda; Insecta; Odonata; Coenagrionidae. The record is from RNAcentral.
AUUUAUUUAGUAUAAAAGUAUAUUUGACUUCCAAUCAAAAGGACUGAAUAAGAUCAGAAUAAAUA